ACGGUUCGUAUUAUAUGCGAUAAAAGGGAACGCCGUUAGAAUCGGCGACAGUACCCGCUGCUGUAAUUCCUGUUGAACCCGUACACUAUGUCACUGCAAAGUUCUGUGCUUCGCGGGAAGGCGUACGAGAGGAGGGAUAAGUCAGAAGACCUGCCAUUUCUUUU
Molecule: non-coding RNA, 164 nt
Filed under: human gut metagenome
Source: RNAcentral